RNAcentral lists this transfer RNA (66 nucleotides) under Cryptophyllium westwoodii. RNAcentral describes it as "tRNA-Phe". Lineage: Eukaryota; Metazoa; Arthropoda; Insecta; Phasmatodea; Phylliidae. The record is from RNAcentral.
AUUUAUAUAGCUUAUUAUUAGAGUUAAAUAUUGAAGAUAUUUUGGAGAAUGUAUUUUCUAUAAAUA